Molecule: ribosomal RNA, 411 nt
Filed under: uncultured Gammaproteobacteria bacterium
Lineage: Bacteria; Pseudomonadati; Pseudomonadota; Gammaproteobacteria
Description: bacterial SSU rRNA
Rfam family: Bacterial small subunit ribosomal RNA
Source: RNAcentral
GAGUUUGAUCCUGGCUCAGAUUGAACGCUGGCGGCAUGCUUUACACAUGCAAGUCGAACGGCAGCACAGGGGAGCUUGCUCCCUGGGUGGCGAGUGGCGGACGGGUGAGGAAUACGUGGGAAUCUGCCCAGUCGUGGGGGAUAACGUAGGGAAACUUACGCUAAUACCGCAUACGAACUACGGUUGAAAGCGGCGGACCGCAAGGCGUCGCGCGAUUGGAUGAGCCGAUGUCCGAUUAGCUAGUUGGCGGGGUAAAGGCCCACCAAGGCGACGAUCGGUAGCUGGUCUGAGAGGAUGAUCAGCCACACUGGAACUGAGACACGGUCCAGACUCCUACGGGAGGCAGCAGUGGGGAAUAUUGGACAAUGGGCGCAAGCCUGAUCCAGCCAUGCCGCGUGUGUGAAGAAGGCC